Molecule: non-coding RNA, 72 nt
Organism: Bos taurus (domestic cattle)
Lineage: Eukaryota; Metazoa; Chordata; Mammalia; Artiodactyla; Bovidae
Source: Rfam
UCCCUGGAAAUCCAGUGGUUAGGACUCCAUGCUUCCACUGUUGGAAUGCAGGUUCAAUUCCUGGUCAGGGAA